UUUCCUUUUUUCAUGGUAUCGUACACCCCCACCGAUCGUUGGGUUUGCUGGAAAAUCUACAAAAAGCAAGAAUCCUAUUUUUCCCCUGUUUGACCAAAAAUUGUUCUCCCUUUUUCGACCACAGGCACCAUCAUUUGCAGUGCCUCACCACUAGGUCUGAAACCCCACCUUCUUGCCUAUCUUCUCUAAAGGUCAUGGCCACUGAUGUGCAGCCAAUGACUGAAGAAAAUUCAAAGAAAAGGAUGGUCCUUUGUUUUUCCAAAGUUUUAUGAUUUUCUUUUAUG
Molecule: long non-coding RNA, 284 nt
Filed under: Elaeis guineensis (African oil palm)
Lineage: Eukaryota; Viridiplantae; Streptophyta; Magnoliopsida; Arecales; Arecaceae
Description: long non-coding RNA (EGUI_LNC071635)
Source: RNAcentral